CUGAGGGGGAAGUGGUGAGUGCAGGCUGUCAUGGCCCCGAAGGACAGUUAAAGGUUGAGUAUGCUCUGGCUAGGUCAGCCAAGCAGAGUGGGACAGAAUGGUGCCAGGUGGAGCAAGGGUCACCUGUGGCGGAGGUGUUGGGUGGCCACGGAGCGGCUUCCACGCUGGAAUCCGCCUUGGGCUCUUCUGCCACUUCUGCCCCUUAUCGGUAGGCAAGCUGCUCCUCCCUGAAAAGGCAGGAUACUAACACUGAAAAGUGUCUCUCAAUGGUCUGACCCUGUCAGGCAAUGAUAAGGAUGCUUCUGACCACACUGGGCCAGAGCCUGUGACCCAGAACAAGGAGGGGCUGAGGUGCCCUUCCUCACGUCUUGCCCCAGCGGAGGGAGGUAGGUGGGAAAUGCUUUUCAGUUGAGUGUCCUGGGCUGAAGUUUCCAGUGCCUGCCCUCCUCCCCUGUGAUUUGCUUUAGACUGGCAGUCUCUGCACGCCUUCCUGCUAGCUUUGUCAUGGCUCAUGACUUAGGAUUAAAGCAGAUCUGCACACAGGAUUUCGAGUACAGCUGGGCAGGUGGGAAGCACCGGAAAACACCGGUGGCAUUGUUACUGGCUGUCGGGUCUACCUUUGCCCAGGGUAUUUUUACCCCAGAUCCUCGGAGUGUGCUGUUGGUGGCUUUCUCUCAUUGAGCAUUUCACAGCUGAAGUUUAGAGGACUUCCCCAAGGCCCGCUCCAUUUCGCUGAUGUAAGCUUUAAUGACCACUAAGGACAGAGCUAUCGUUCAUGCUUCCCGUUUGGUUCACCCUGUUUCCU
This 805-nucleotide long non-coding RNA is filed under the name Mustela putorius furo (domestic ferret). RNAcentral describes it as "lncRNA (ENSMPUG00000029421.1)". Lineage: Eukaryota; Metazoa; Chordata; Mammalia; Carnivora; Mustelidae. The record is from RNAcentral.